UCAAGUAGAUGCCAGCCGCCGCGGUAAUCGGGUAACCAGUAGAGCCCGUAAGACGGGAAAUCCACGGGAAACGGGGAGCUAAUACCGGAUAGGUGAUUUCCUCGCAUGAGGGAAUUGUAUUAACGUGGAUUCAGCUGCCACUUAUGGAUGGACCCACGGCGCAUUAGCUAGUUGGUGGGGUAACGGCUCACCCAGGCGACGAUGCGUACCGACCUGAAAGGGUGAUCGGCCCCCCCGGGACUGAAACACGGCCCAGACUUCUACGGGAGGCGGC
This 274-nucleotide ribosomal RNA is filed under the name Paenibacillus sp. GOD NKPN19. Its description in RNAcentral is "partial 16S ribosomal RNA". It matches the Rfam family "Bacterial small subunit ribosomal RNA", at positions 84 to 352 of the family's 1533-position model. Lineage: Bacteria; Bacillati; Bacillota; Bacilli; Caryophanales; Paenibacillaceae. The record is from RNAcentral.